RNAcentral lists this ribosomal RNA (497 nucleotides) under uncultured bacterium. RNAcentral's name for it is "partial 16S ribosomal RNA". It matches the Rfam family "Bacterial small subunit ribosomal RNA", at positions 28 to 507 of the family's 1533-position model. The record is from RNAcentral.
GACGAACGCUGGCGGCGUGCCUAAUACAUGCAAGUUGAGCGAUGAAGAUUGGUGCUUGCACCAAUUUGAAGAGCAGCGAACGGGUGAGUAACGCGUGGGGAAUCUGCCUUUGAGCGGGGGACAACAUUUGGAAACGAAUGCUAAUACCGCAUAACAACUUUAAACAUAAGUUUUAAGUUUGAAAGAUGCAAUUGCAUCACUCAAAGAUGAUCCCGCGUUGUAUUAGCUAGUUGGUGAGGUAAAGGCUCACCAAGGCGAUGAUACAUAGCCGACCUGAGAGGGGGAUCGGCCACAUUGGGACUGAGACACGGCCCAAACUCCUACGGGAGGCAGCAGUAGGGAAUCUUCGGCAAUGGACGAAAGUCUGGCCGAGCAACGCCGCGUGAGUGAAGAAGGUUUUCGGAUCGUAAAACUCUGUUGGUAGAGAAGAACGUUGGUGAGAGUGGAAAGCUCAUCAAGUGACGGUAACUACCCAGAAAGGGACGGCUAACUACGUG